AUACGGAGGGUGCAAGCGUUAAUCGGAAUUACUGGGCGUAAAGCGCGCGUAGGCGGUUUGUUAAGCUGGAUGUGAAAGCCCUGGGCUCAACCUGGGAACUGCAUUCAGAACUGGCAGGCUAGAGUACGAGAGAGGGGGGUAGAAUUCCUAGUGUAGCGGUGAAAUGCGUAGAUAUUAGGAGGAAUACCAGUGGCGAAGGCGGCCCCCUGGCUCGAUACUGACGCUGAGGUGCGAAAGCGUGGGGAGCAAACAGGAUUAGAAACCCCAGUAGUCC
RNAcentral lists this ribosomal RNA (274 nucleotides) under uncultured bacterium. RNAcentral describes it as "partial 16S ribosomal RNA". It matches the Rfam family "Bacterial small subunit ribosomal RNA", at positions 523 to 796 of the family's 1533-position model. The record is from RNAcentral.